RNAcentral lists this ribosomal RNA (238 nucleotides) under uncultured bacterium. Its description in RNAcentral is "partial 16S ribosomal RNA". It matches the Rfam family "Bacterial small subunit ribosomal RNA", at positions 15 to 235 of the family's 1533-position model. The record is from RNAcentral.
GAUCAUGGCUCAGGAUGAACGCUGGCGGCGUGCCUAACACAUGCAAGUCGAACGAAGCACUUAUGACGAUUCCUUCGGGAUGAAGCGUUUGUGACUUAGUGGCGGACGGGUGAGUAACGCGUGGGUAACCUGCCUUAUACAGGGGGAUAACAGUUAGAAAUGACUGCUAAUACCGCAUAAGCGCACAGUCUCGCAUGGGACAGUGUGAAAAACUAAGGUGGUAUAAGAUGGACCCGCG